GAUGAAGAACGUAGCGAAAUGCGAUACUUGGUGUGAAUUGCAGAAUCCCGUGAAUCAUCGAGUCUUUGAACGCAAGUUGCGCCCGAAGCCUUUUGGCCGAGGGCACGUCUGCCUGGGUGUCACGCAACGUCGCCGCCAGCACACCCUUCCCUUAGGGGAUCGGGAUGUAGCUGGGGGCGGAUUUUGGCCUCCCGUGCGCCUCAGCGCGCGCGGUUGGCCUAAAUUUCAGCUCACGGCGAGGAUCGCCACGACAAGCGGUGGUUUUUUGAACUAAGGACCUCGGGUGUUGUCGUGCGGCCUCGCGGAGAGAAGGAACACUCGUGCGCUAGCGCACACUCUUAACGAGACCCCAGGUCAGUCGGGAACACCCGCUGAAUUUAAGCAUAUCAAUAAGCGGAGGA
This 401-nucleotide unclassified non-coding RNA is filed under the name soil metagenome. RNAcentral's name for it is "partial contains 5.8S ribosomal RNA, internal transcribed spacer 2, and large subunit ribosomal RNA". The stretch from base 1 to 122 matches the Rfam family "5.8S ribosomal RNA", at positions 35 to 154 of the family's 154-position model. The record is from RNAcentral.